This 1093-nucleotide ribosomal RNA is filed under the name Linognathus africanus. RNAcentral's name for it is "large subunit ribosomal RNA". It matches the Rfam family "Bacterial large subunit ribosomal RNA", at positions 1370 to 2712 of the family's 2925-position model. Lineage: Eukaryota; Metazoa; Arthropoda; Insecta; Psocodea; Linognathidae. The record is from RNAcentral.
UAAUUUAGGGUAAUGUGAUUGUUUAAAACAUAAAAGAAGUUCAUUUUAUGAAUUAAGUUUAUAAAUAACAAUAUUUGGCCAAACAGAGAUGGAGAAUUUUAUAAAGUAAAAGUAUUAAAAUUUAUGUACCUUUGGUAUCAGGGGGGAAGGACUAAGGAAUUGGAUUAAGGUAUCCCGAAUAUGGGGGAUCUCUGAUGCCAUAAUGGUUUUGUUAAAUUAAGACUUAGAAUAGCUUCAGAGUAAUGAAAAGUUAUUCGUCUCCAUAGAUAUCUGGUUACUACAAACCUUUCUUCUUAAGGAAGAAGAUACUCAAAGGGUUAAGCUUUUGGGGACAUCAAACUUUAAAUGGGCUCUUUUAAUUUGGGGUUAAAUUGAAUUUAUUUGUUCUGUUGACUUGGAAAGAAGUAACUUUCUUUAACAAUACAAUGAAAUCUUAUAAUCUUCCCAUUAGUAAACAAUAAAUUAACUUCAAGGAACUCGGCAACAAUGGGGUUGGAAUGUUUAUUAAAAACAUUUCCUCUUGAGUAAAAUAUGAGGUAAAUCCUGCUCACUGCCUUUAGGUGAAGAGCCGCGGUAUUUUGACCGUGCUAAGGUAGCAUAAUAACUUGCUUUUUAAUUGAAAGCUAGAAUGAAUGGUUUAACUCGACUCUAACUGUCUCGGGGUUAGUGGGUUGAAUUUAAAUUCUGAGUGAAAAUGCUCAGAUGAAGGAGAGGGACGAGAAGACCCUAUAGAUCUUUACUUAUCCUAAUCUUAGGGGUUAAAGGGUGAGAUUACCUGGGAAGGGGCUUCCAAACAUCUUAUACUAAAAAGCUUAUAGGCUCAACGUGAUGAUCCAGUAAAUUUGAAAUUAGAAGAAGUUACCUUAGGGAUAACAGCGUUAUUGUCUUCUUUAGACCGUAUGGAGCAAGACAGCUUGCGACCUCGAUGUUGAAUUAAGUUUAGCUAUUCUCGGAGAAUAGAAUAAGCCUUAGUCUGUUCGACUAUUAAAAACUUACAUGAUUUGAGUUUAGACCGACGUGAGUCAGGUCAGAUUCUAUCUUCUCCUUUUAUCUUCUUCUCAGUACGAAAGGACAAGAAGGAGGGAUUUCAUCU